GGACGGAUGGCCGAGUGGUCCAAGGCGUCAGCUUCAGGUGCUGAUCUCGCAAGAGGCGUGGGUUCGAACCCCACUUCGUUCA
Globomyces sp. JEL0801 is the source of this 82-nucleotide non-coding RNA. The record is from the annotation of a GenBank genome assembly. Lineage: Eukaryota; Fungi; Chytridiomycota; Chytridiomycetes; Rhizophydiales; Globomycetaceae.